GGAGGCUGUCACCCAUCAUUCUUCCAUUAUCACUAGCAGGUGCCUUAUUUCCUCUCAGCCAGCUUCCUGAUCUCUCCCUCCCUGCUAUGGACUUCCAGCCACCACAUCUCUGUCAUUGCUCCUCCUUAGCUGUCCUGGGUGAGAGGGUUGAUCAGGCUCCUAGAGAAGAGCUUCACGUAGGUGUAGGAAUAUUUGGAGUAGGUCAUUAUUUUUUUAAUUGAGUCACCACACUGUUGUUUUGCCCAUUGGAUGAAAAUUUUGUCACAGACCUGCAUUGGAGAACAAGUGCCUUAGAGUCUAGAGUUCAAAUACCUUCGAGAACCAGGACAUUGCAAAUCGCUGGAUCUGCAUGCAGGGCAGGGAACAAGGGCCCUACAGGAAAGUGAGGCAUUGGCCUUAGGUGCAAAAUUUUAGGGGAUACCAAAAACUUGGUGAUCAAGAUAAAUAACAUUUCAAUAAAACAAAAUUAAUGUAAAAAUCUAUGUAUUUUUAACAAAAUAUCAAUUUUUUUUUUUUUUUUUGAGACGGAGUCUCCCUCUGUUCCCAGGCUGGAGUGCAGUGGUGCGAUCUCAGCUCACUGCAAGCUCCGCCUCCUGGGUUCACGCCAUCCUCCUGCCUCAAUCUCCUGAGUAGCUGGGACUACAGGUGCCCCGCCAACACGCCCGGCUAAUUUUUUGUAUUUUUAGUAGAGACAGGG
RNAcentral lists this long non-coding RNA (697 nucleotides) under Homo sapiens (human). Its description in RNAcentral is "HSALNT0064543". The record is from RNAcentral. Lineage: Eukaryota; Metazoa; Chordata; Mammalia; Primates; Hominidae.